UCUGCCUUGGAGUGGGGAAUAACGGCUGGAAACAGCCGCUAAUACCGCAUGAUGCAUCUGAGUCGCAUGGUUUGGAUGCCAAAGAUUUAUCGCUCUGAGAUGAGCUCGCGUCUGAUUAGCUAGUUGGCGGGGUAACGGCCCACCAAGGCGACGAUCAGUAGCCGGACUGAGAGGUUGGCCGGCCACAUUGGGACUGAGACACGGCCCAGACUCCUACGGAAGGCAGCAG
Molecule: ribosomal RNA, 229 nt
Filed under: uncultured bacterium
Lineage: Bacteria
Description: partial 16S ribosomal RNA
Rfam family: Bacterial small subunit ribosomal RNA
Source: RNAcentral